This 538-nucleotide ribosomal RNA is filed under the name Akkermansia muciniphila. RNAcentral's name for it is "bacterial SSU rRNA". It matches the Rfam family "Bacterial small subunit ribosomal RNA", at positions 1 to 560 of the family's 1533-position model. The record is from RNAcentral. Lineage: Bacteria; Pseudomonadati; Verrucomicrobiota; Verrucomicrobiia; Verrucomicrobiales; Akkermansiaceae.
UUGAUGGAGAGUUUGAUUCUGGCUCAGAACGAACGCUGGCGGCGUGGAUAAGACAUGCAAGUCGAACGAGAGAAUUGCUAGCUUGCUAAUAAUUCUCUAGUGGCGCACGGGUGAGUAACACGUGAGUAACCUGCCCCCGAGAGCGGGAUAGCCCUGGGAAACUGGGAUUAAUACCGCAUAGUAUCGAAAGAUUAAAGCAGCAAUGCGCUUGGGGAUGGGCUCGCGGCCUAUUAGUUAGUUGGUGAGGUAACGGCUCACCAAGGCGAUGACGGGUAGCCGGUCUGAGAGGAUGUCCGGCCACACUGGAACUGAGACACGGUCCAGACACCUACGGGUGGCAGCAGUCGAGAAUCAUUCACAAUGGGGGAAACCCUGAUGGUGUGACGCCGCGUGGGGGAAUGAAGGUCUUCGGAUUGUAAACCCCUGUCAUGUGGGAGCAAAUUAAAAAGAUAGUACCACAAGAGGAAGAGACGGCUAACUCUGUGCCAGCAGCCGCGGUAAUACAGAGGUCUCAAGCGUUGUUCGGAAUCACUGGGCG